Unclassified non-coding RNA from Cercocebus atys (sooty mangabey), 105 nucleotides. It matches the Rfam family "Y RNA". From Rfam's summary of the family: Y RNAs are components of the Ro ribonucleoprotein particle (Ro RNP), in association with Ro60 and La proteins. The Y RNAs and Ro60 and La proteins are well conserved, but the function of the Ro RNP is not known. In humans the RNA component can be one of four small RNAs -- hY1, hY3, hY4 and hY5. Lineage: Eukaryota; Metazoa; Chordata; Mammalia; Primates; Cercopithecidae. The record is from Ensembl.
GGUGUAGACACCAAGUGCAGUGGUAUUUACAACUAAUUUAUCACAACCAGCUACUGAUUCCUUUGUUCCUUCUCCACUCCCAUUGCUUCACUUGACUAGCCUUAA